GCCUUGGUGGAUCAAUUGGCAGAUCAUCCCAGUGCAUCAUUCAGAAUAUACGGGAAGACGGAGGUUCGAAUCCUCCCCAUGGCA
Mycena rebaudengoi is the source of this 84-nucleotide non-coding RNA. Lineage: Eukaryota; Fungi; Basidiomycota; Agaricomycetes; Agaricales; Mycenaceae. The record is from the annotation of a GenBank genome assembly.